UAAUACGGAGGGGGCUAGCGUUGUUCGGAAUUACUGGGCGUAAAGGGCGUGUAGGCGGCCCGUCAAGUCAGGCGUGAAAGCCCUGGGCUUAACCUAGGAGGUGCGCUUGAAACUGAUGGGCUUGAGGCCGGGAGAGGAGAGUGGAAUUCCCAGUGUAGAGGUGAAAUUCGUAGAUAUUGGGAAGAACACCAGUGGCGAAGGCGGCUCUCUGGUCCGGUUCUGACGCUAAUGCGCGAAAGCGUGGGGAGCAAACAGGAUUAGAUACCCUGGUAGUCCACGCCGUAAACGAUGAGUGCUAGACGUCAGGCGGCCUAGCCGUUUGGUGUCGCAGCUAACGCAUUAAGCACUCCGCCUGGGGAGUACGGCCGCAAGGCUA
Molecule: ribosomal RNA, 376 nt
Filed under: uncultured Alphaproteobacteria bacterium
Lineage: Bacteria; Pseudomonadati; Pseudomonadota; Alphaproteobacteria
Description: bacterial SSU rRNA
Rfam family: Bacterial small subunit ribosomal RNA
Source: RNAcentral